CCUACGGGGGGCUGCAGUGGGGAAUAUUGGACAAUGGGGGGAACCCUGAUCCAGCCAUGCCGCGUGUGUGAAGAAGGCCCUCGGGUUGUAAAGCACUUUCAGUGAGGAAGAACGCCUGGUGGUUAAUACCCAUCAGGAAAGACAUCACUCACAGAAGAAGCACCGGCUAACUCCGUGCCAGCAGCCGCGGUAAUACGGAGGGUGCGAGCGUUAAUCGGAAUUACUGGGCGUAAAGCGCGCGUAGGUGGCUUGAUAAGCCGGUUGUGAAAGCCCCGGGCUCAACCUGGGAACGGCAUCCGGAACUGUCAAGCUAGAGUGCAGGAGAGGAAGGUAGAAUUCCCGGUGUAGCGGUGAAAUGCGUAGAGAUCGGGAGGAAUACCAGUGGCGAAGGCGGCCUUCUGGACUGACACUGACACUGAGGUGCGAAGGCGUGGGUAGCAAACAGGAUUAGAUACCCUAGUAGUC
Molecule: ribosomal RNA, 465 nt
Filed under: Vreelandella stevensii
Lineage: Bacteria; Pseudomonadati; Pseudomonadota; Gammaproteobacteria; Oceanospirillales; Halomonadaceae
Description: partial 16S ribosomal RNA
Rfam family: Bacterial small subunit ribosomal RNA
Source: RNAcentral